Molecule: ribosomal RNA, 765 nt
Filed under: uncultured archaeon
Lineage: Archaea
Description: bacterial SSU rRNA
Rfam family: Archaeal small subunit ribosomal RNA
Source: RNAcentral
GGAGGUCACUGCUAUUGGGAUUCGACUAAGCCAUGCGAGUCGAGAGGGUUCGGCCCUCGGCUGACGGCUCAGUAACACGUGGAUAAUCUGUCCUUAGGCGGAGGAUAAUCUCGGGAAACUGAGAAUAAUACUCCAUAGAUCUAGGAUGCUGGAAUGCACUUAGAUUGAAAGCUCCGGCGCCUAAGGAUGAGUCUGCGGACUAUCAGGUUGUGGUCAGGAUAAUGACCUGACUAGCCUACGACGGAUACGGGUUGUGAGAGCAAUAACCCGGAGACGAUAUCUGAGACACGAUAUCGGGCCCUACGGGGCGCAGCAGGCGCGAAAACUUCACACUGUGCGAAAGCACGAUGAGGGAAUCCCGAGUGCCAACUCGUAAGAGUUGGCUGUUUCUCUGUCUAAAAAAUAGAGAGAGUAAGAGCUGGGUAAGACGGGUGCCAGCCGCCGCGGUAAUACCUGCAGCUCAAGUGGUGGCCACUAUUAUUGGGCCUAAAACGUCCGUAGCCGGUUUAAUAAAUGCCGGGGUAAAUCGUGUAGCUUAACUAUACGAAUUCCGGGUAGACUGUUAGACUUGAGACCGGGAGAAGCUAGAGGUACUCCUAGGGUAGAGGUGAAAUUCUGUAAUCCUAGGGGGACCACCAGUGGCGAAGGCGUCUAGCUAGAACGGGUCUGACGGUGAGGGACGAAGCCCUGGGGCGCAAACCGGAUUAGAUACCCGGGUAGUCCANGGUGUAAACGCUGCUCGCUUGAUGUUAGUUGGGCUCCGAG